AAGUCGUAACAAGGUUUCCGUAGGUGAACCUGCGGAAGGAUCAUUAACACGUAUCCAAACGUAAAAAACCCCCCCCGUGAACAUUCAAUCCUGCUCUUGUAACCCGCGUAGUUCGCAAUCUCUGGUAAAUCAUAGCCCGGAAAGUAGUUUUGAUUCAGAGACCUCUGGCUACGUGAGAACAUUGGAACAGUUACAAUCGAGCGGUAGUUUCAUAGGCAUUGUUUCCCCAAGCAGUUGGUGUCUGAAAGUGUCACUGAUUGUGCAAGGAUAGCGCUUCAACGAUUCCUGUAGACCGUACACUCGGGCAUAUGCCAAAGGGUCCCCAUGCCCCCUUAUAACCCCACAGUUUAAUGUGAAGCUCAAUGUAAAAACCGAACAACUGUUAACAAUGGAUAUCUUGGUUCUC
This 406-nucleotide unclassified non-coding RNA is filed under the name fungal sp. RNAcentral's name for it is "partial internal transcribed spacer region". The stretch from base 1 to 46 matches the Rfam family "Eukaryotic small subunit ribosomal RNA", at positions 1786 to 1831 of the family's 1831-position model. Lineage: Eukaryota; Fungi. The record is from RNAcentral.